This is a long non-coding RNA of Rhineura floridana, 560 nucleotides long. RefSeq lists it as uncharacterized. The record is from RefSeq and is a predicted model, not a curated record. Lineage: Eukaryota; Metazoa; Chordata; Lepidosauria; Squamata; Rhineuridae. The transcript is spliced from 3 exons.
GGGAAAAGGCUAGGAGAUGUUAUGUAUGUUGGAGUAUGCUACUGUCAUGUAUUGCCUGUCUACCAAGGAACAAGCAGCAUUCCCCCCCCUUUGGAUGUGGAGUCAAUGAAGCAAUGGAAGGAUGGCAAAAUUCUGAACAUGAUGACAUCAGAUCACAUAACUUCCUUAAAUGUCAAUGAGAAGAUGUGGGCCGUUCAACUAUCGUACGCUAGCGGAAGCCAGUGCAAGGAUUCCAACUAGUGCAACGGGACUUGCCACCUCUCCUCCCUCCGUGAUUCUCCAAGUAUGCUGCAAAGAAGCCCCUAGAACAGUGCUUGGGGGAAGAAGCGGGGAGAUCAUACUGUCUUGUGAAAUUCUUGUGCUGACAGAACAAUCUCCUUAGCACUACAUUGAAUACAACCCUAUAUAUUUAGAUAUGUUAAUAUGGUUCUUUUACUCUCCAUAAUGUAAUGUAAGAAGAGCAAGCCAUAGAAGAAUGUUACCUUUCAAUGCACACAUGUAUGUCCUUUAAUUGAAGAGUUAUAACCCUUGCAUAUUUUUCACCAGUGUAUUUCUGUGAG